Molecule: ribosomal RNA, 629 nt
Filed under: uncultured Pseudomonadota bacterium
Lineage: Bacteria; Pseudomonadati; Pseudomonadota
Description: bacterial SSU rRNA
Rfam family: Bacterial small subunit ribosomal RNA
Source: RNAcentral
CCUAACACAUGCAAGUCGAACGGUAACAGGAAGCAGCUUGCUGCUUCGCUGACGAGUGGCGGACGGGUGAGUAUUGUCUGGGAAACUGCCUGAUGGAGGGGGAUAACUACUGGAAACGGUAGCUAAUACCGCAUAACGUCGCAAGACCAAAGAGGGGGACCUUCGGGCCUCUUGCCAUCGGAUGUGCCCAGAUGGGAUUAGCUAGUAGGUGGGGUAACGGCUCACCUAGGCGACGAUCCCUAGCUGGUCUGAGAGGAUGACCAGCCACACUGGAACUGAGACACGGUCCAGACUCCUACGGGAGGCAGCAGUGGGGAAUAUUGCACAAUGGGCGCAAGCCUGAUGCAGCCAUGCCGCGUGUAUGAAGAAGGCCUUCGGGUUGUAAAGUACUUUCAGCGGGGAGGAAGGUGCUGAGGUUAAUAACCUCAGCAAUUGACGUUACCCGCAGAAGAAGCACCGGCUAACUCCGUGCCAGCAGCCGCGGUAAUACGGAGGGUGCAAGCGUUAAUCGGAAUUACUGGGCGUAAAGCGCACGCAGGCGGUCUGUCAAGUCGGAUGUGAAAUCCCCGGGCUCAACCUGGGAACUGCAUUCGAAACCGGCAGGCUAGAGUCUUGUAGAGGGGGGUAGA